AGGGCUCAGAAGCAUAGGAGGGGAGCUCCUUCCAGUGCCAACGGGUAGCCCUUUACUGCUAACUCGUUGUGCGACAGGCUUUCUAUAGACACCAAGGUCCCCCUCCCCGCCGUGGAGGAGGAGCCAUCAGUGACGUAAGACUCCGCGUCCCCUGGCUUGAGAGGACCCGCGUCCAGCAGGGGAAGUGCGAGGUUUAUAAGCAGAGGGACCUCUGGUGUCCCCGGGCCCCCCGGGUCGGCAGUGGGAGUGACGGCGUAGGCCGAGCGGCUUCUCAGGCCGCCCCCAAAGCGCCUGGGCGCCUGGGAUGCGGCCUGCGCCCCUUCGCCCUCCGUGGUCCGUUGCCUUCCGGCCUCUCUCGUCCCUCCGUGUUGUUUUCGCGUCCGUUGCUGCGGCAGCUCCCGAAGCCCGAGCGGCGGGUUCCCCGGAUCGCAUGGGCGUAGCCUUCCUCCCAAGCCAGCACCGGCGGCCCGAAGAACCCUUGGGCACCCCUCCCACGCCUCUGGGUCUUUAUCCAGCCAGCACUGGCGCCAUUUGCCGCGCAGUGAAGGGCCCAGACGAUUUCCUGCCCUGGACAUCCAAGCAAGACUUUGUGCCUGGCUGAGGUGGUGAGGUUGGUAGGGAACAGCCCUACAGAAGUCCCAACUCUUCUCAGACACAGGUGAGCAGAAAGAGCGUGGUUAGAAGAGGAAGCGGGAGGGAGCAGAGGUGCAAGUACAGCAGUUAAAAGGUGGACCACGUGGCCCACUAGGGAAAGGAGACCAGCAUAGACUAUGACCAUUUUCCAAGUUUGGCUUCUUACCUGAGAUGAGUUUAUCUACACAGUAACCCCUUUUAUUUCAGAUUUACCAAAUGAAAGUUUUCUUUCUUAAGUAUCUUUGUGCAGGAGGCCCCAGCCCAUAGGCACAGCCACAACACACUUAACCAUUGUGGGAGCUUGGAGGCUUUCCUGCCUCAGCGCACACUUCAGGCUUUCCCCUCUGCCUGUAAUCCUGCUUUCCAGCCCUACAUGUGGAAAUCCUGACAACCUUCCAGGUACUGGGUUUUUCCUCUGCAGCCCCUGGUCACAUCCUCUUCCUUUUUUAUUGCCCUUUUAUGUAAUUUUUCUAGCACCACAUUUUCAUUUGGUGAUAAGGAUUUCUGUGCCUUAGACUUUUGUGAUAAGGAUUUUUGUGCAAGUCUUAAGUUUUAAAUCCUGAACACUGCUCACAAAGGUAUGAAAUAAAUGUCAGACUGAAUUAAAUUCACUGGAACUAGUUCAAGUGUAAAAAGAAUCCUUUUUUAAAUGACAGUAUAUUUUUUAUACCUUUUCCAAACCAUUCUCAAAACAUUUAAUCCUGAUAUAUGUGGUUAAGAGGGUAGAAAUUUAAUCCAACUAUGGGGUUUGGAGGUAGGGCCUUCAUGAAAUUAUAAGAUUACGUAAGGUCAUCCAGAUGGUGCCCCCAUGAUUGGCUUUGGGAGAAGGGAGAGAGGACAGAGGAGGAGACACACAUGUCCCUUGCUUGGUGUUGCCUUUUCUUGGGCAUCUGCACAAAGAAAGGCAUCACCAGUGUGGCUCCUCAGCCUUGGACAUCCAGUUUCAUAGCCCAAAAUAAACCAAUUUCAUUUAAAAAUUAUCC
Molecule: long non-coding RNA, 1616 nt
Filed under: Fukomys damarensis (Damara mole-rat)
Lineage: Eukaryota; Metazoa; Chordata; Mammalia; Rodentia; Bathyergidae
Description: lncRNA (ENSFDAG00000022508.1)
Source: RNAcentral